UACGGAGGGUGCAAACGUUGCUCGGAAUCAUUGGGCGUAAAGCGCACGUAGGCGGUCCAGCAAGUCGGGUGUGAAAGCCCUCGGCUUAACCGAGGAAGUGCAUUCGAAACUACUGGACUUGAAUACUGGAGAGGGUCGCGGAAUUCCCGGUGUAGAGGUGAAAUUCGUAGAUAUCGGGAGGAACACCAGUGGCGAAGGCGGCGACCUGGACAGAUAUUGACGCUGAGGUGCGAAAGCGUGGGGAGCAAACAGG
This 253-nucleotide ribosomal RNA is filed under the name uncultured bacterium. Its description in RNAcentral is "partial 16S ribosomal RNA". It matches the Rfam family "Bacterial small subunit ribosomal RNA", at positions 524 to 776 of the family's 1533-position model. The record is from RNAcentral.